RNAcentral lists this ribosomal RNA (102 nucleotides) under Encephalitozoon intestinalis. RNAcentral describes it as "partial large subunit ribosomal RNA". The record is from RNAcentral. Lineage: Eukaryota; Fungi; Microsporidia; Unikaryonidae.
UUGAGGAUUCACGGGAUUGAUAGGCAUUAGCAGCGAGGAAGGACGUGUAGGAGGACGAUAUGCCUUUUUGAGGAUGUCUGAAUGAAGCGGAAGCGCUUGGGG